CUCGUAGGCGGUUUGGUAAGUCGGGUGUGAAAACUCUGGGCUCAACCCAGAGAGGCCACCCGAUACUGCUAUGACUAGAGUACGGUAGGGGAGCGGGGAAUUCAUGGUGUAGCGGUGAAAUGCGCAGAUAUCAUGAGGAACACCAGCGGCGAAGGCGCCGCUCUGGGCCGUAACUGACGCUGAGGAGCGAAAGCGGUGGGUAGCGAACA
Molecule: ribosomal RNA, 209 nt
Filed under: uncultured bacterium
Lineage: Bacteria
Description: partial 16S ribosomal RNA
Rfam family: Bacterial small subunit ribosomal RNA
Source: RNAcentral